AAUUUUUGUGUAUUCACUGACUGUAUUGUAUUGAACAAAAUCGUUAUGCGGCCCUCGCUCGUCAUUCUCUCAGUUAUCUGGCCCGCUGUGAAAAAAGUUUGGUGACCCCUGGUCAAGAACAACCCUCGUUGACCGCGUAGUGACGCCCGUGAUUGACGUCGUUGGUUGUGACAUUGCUUCGUUGAUUCUGGCUCUAAGAAGGGCCGUGGUAUACCAAGGGAAAAAAAAAAAGAAACAAGAUUAGUUCGUUGUGACAUAGACGAAAUUUGAGCCGAUACCUGUAAUCGUCUGUAGUGAUGCGUUACGAUAUGUUGAACGACGUGAGCAUGAUGUAAUCAUGGGUUUUAUUAGCUACAGGGCCGAAUUCUAUAGAAGAAUUAUUACGCACUUCAUCCACGGCACACGCGAACCAAUCAACAGGCAAGGCGAGAGGUAGAGGUCCAUGGUGUAUCGGAUUAUCGUAUGUGACCCACGAUUAACGAACCAUUAUUUUAGUCAGAAGUAUUUUCUUCACUGGUAACAUAUCCUUCAGUUUUACCAGUUACUUGGAGAAUUUUAUGUGAUGGGAUCACGUCACAUUCACCUAGAGCAUGUCAAACAAUGUUUGAGCUCUCCUUGAACCUUGGAUUAGAGAAUUCUUUUAAAUAAUCUCCUAGUUUUAUGACAUUCGAACCGACGUAGGCGCCCUCACACGUUUGGCAGCAGAAUUUGCAAAUGACACUUGACUGUUGAAGAAGGUUGUUGCACUACCUCGAGAAUGAAACAACAGAUGGAACCACUACACCUCGAAACCAAAGAAGAGCAUUCCAGUACUAGGAUUGUCUGAAGGUGUGUCCAAGUCUUAGGAAAUUGGAGAUGGGGAGAGCGCCAACAAAGACUUCGAUGUCAGCUCCAAAGACCAAGGCGAUAGUGAUGCAGACGAGCGAGAUGGUUCAUUCAAUGGUUCUUGCAUUAAUGAAGGAGCAUCAACCUCGAUGUUAUUGACCAGGUGGUCUUGAAGAACGUAAGCAGCUGUGACUAAUGAGAUACCACUACUAAAGAGGCCAUGAGAAACAAUCCAGAAGGGGCCAAGAGUGUAACUCUUUACAAGCCACCAAAAGUGCUAACAAACAGAUUCAUGAUAAAACUGAUUCCAGUAUUCAAGCACCAUUGUCAGGAGAUGGUAGUUGAUUGGAUGGAGGCUCUAGAACUCUACAACUGGAAAGUAGAUCGGCUGGGCAAAGGAUCGCUCCUCUGUUGAGCAAUGAGAAGGAGAUCAAGCUAGCCAAAGCCAAGCGCAACCUCAACAGACCUCAAAGCAUCCAUGGUCGUCAACUGAAAAGAUUUUGGUAACACUGGAAUCUCUAUUGAUGGGGUUAAGGCAUGUGUGAAAGUUUGGUUUGAAUUUCGUGCAAAGGUACACGAGGGCUAUCUGC
Long non-coding RNA from Limulus polyphemus (Atlantic horseshoe crab), 1415 nucleotides. RefSeq lists it as uncharacterized. Lineage: Eukaryota; Metazoa; Arthropoda; Merostomata; Xiphosura; Limulidae. The transcript is spliced from 4 exons. The record is from RefSeq and is a predicted model, not a curated record.